Molecule: non-coding RNA, 429 nt
Organism: Nicotiana tabacum (common tobacco)
Lineage: Eukaryota; Viridiplantae; Streptophyta; Magnoliopsida; Solanales; Solanaceae
Source: RefSeq, a predicted model, not a curated record
UGUACAAGAAUGAACGAUUCCCUCCAAUGAGAAAAUAAUAGGAAAACCUAUUCCUUCAUUGAACGGAUACGGAAGAGACGAGCGAUUAACAAAAUCGCACAUAUAGGUCUCCGGCCAGCUUUUUCCCCAGAUAACUGCUCUUCUUCCCCAGGUUUCAAGAUUGUUGCAGAACUCAUUCUUCUCCUUCAAUUUCUUGUCUUUAUCGGCAAAACAAUCUGCUUACCAGUAAAGUGUAGAAAAGAAAAGAAUAUCUUGAACGUCAUGGACAAUCCUAGAAAUAAAAGAUGGAUGCAUUGUGAUAGAGUUAGUAAAGAAUAUUUGGAUGGAGUAGAUGAUUUUAUAAACCAUGCCUUUUCUGACAUAACGGACCUAUGAAAAUUUUCAGAACUGGAUUCCGACCCCGAUAUCAAAAAGUCAACUCCCCAGUCA